AUGAGUGCCGCGAUUCAUGCUGAAAUCUUUCUAGCAAGUGACUCGCUUGUUUCAGGCUGCCCCACUCUCCGCCCAGUUUAUAUCUUUUAUUCCAGGUUUCUUUAUCUUCUCCUUAAAAAAAAUCUUUUCACCUACCUAUCUUUCCCAAUUCGGGGUUCAGUAGUAAACAAUUGUGUUUAUUUCCAGCUUUUUUCUCUAAAUUACUUGUAUAAGCUACUAGAUUUUGCAGCUGUAUUGUUCAAGAGUUCUAGUGUUUUAUUUAUAUGUUUUUUUUGGGAUGUUGUACUGGAAGUAUUGUGGUGA
This 303-nucleotide ribosomal RNA is filed under the name Triticum aestivum (bread wheat). RNAcentral describes it as "partial small subunit ribosomal RNA". Lineage: Eukaryota; Viridiplantae; Streptophyta; Magnoliopsida; Poales; Poaceae. The record is from RNAcentral.